AUACGUAGGGGGCGAGCGUUGUCCGGAAUUACUGGGCGUAAAGGGUGCGUAGGCGGUUGCUUAAGUCAGAUGUGAAAUCCCCGGGCUUAACUCGGGUGGUGCAUUUGAAACUGGGCGGCUUGAGUGCAGGAGAGGGAAGCGGAAUUCCUAGUGUAGCGGUGAAAUGCGUAGAUAUUAGGAGGAACACCAGUGGCGAAGGCGGCUUUCUGGACUGUAACUGACGCUGAGGCACGAAAGCGUGGGGAGCAAACAGGAUUAGAUACCCUGGUAGUCCACGCUGUAAACGAUGGAUACUAGGUGUAGGGGGCGUAAAGCCUUCUGUGCCGCAGCAAACGCAAUAAGUAUCCCGCCUGGGGAGUACGGCCGCAAGGUUGAA
This 376-nucleotide ribosomal RNA is filed under the name uncultured bacterium. RNAcentral describes it as "bacterial SSU rRNA". It matches the Rfam family "Bacterial small subunit ribosomal RNA", at positions 523 to 898 of the family's 1533-position model. The record is from RNAcentral.